UUACUGGAGCAAUCUAGGUAAAGUACCUUGCUCAAGGGUACAGCAGCAGUGUCCCCACCAGGGAUUGAACCCACGACCCUCCGGUCAAGAGUCCAGAGCCCUAACCACUACUCCACACUGCUGCCCCGCUACUCCACACUGCUACUUGUUUUCAGCUCUUCAACAGUUGCAGUUUAAGCUACUUAAAUGUUACAGCUAACUUGAAAUAUGCAACUGUUCAAGAGCUGAAAACAAGUAAAAAGGUCUAAUUAAGCAAAUUAUUAGUUCAAUUAAGGCUAUAGUUAAGUAAUUGAGAGCUCGGUUGGAAUGAAAACCAAGCAGCCACGGGGGGUUUGAGAAAGUUUGAGAAAAAGGAAAACUGCUGUGUACCAAAAUGAUCAAUAAGAAAAAAGAAAAAAGAGAAAAGGAUAUUUCAGGUACUUAAAAAGGUAGAAUAAUUGAUUACAAAUCAAUUAUCAGGACGUUUCACACAACAGGUCCUUCAUCGGCUGAAUACAAAAAAACAGUGCUAUAGCAUUGAACCAUCCCACAAAUUGUGAUGUCUUCUAUAGUGUGGUCAUUUCUGUUAAAAUGUCUGGCGACAGGAAAGGCAGAGGUGUUAAUUUGUAUACUUCUCAGAUGUUCCACGAAGCGAUCAGCCAAGCAUUGUUUUGUUUCACCAAUAUAUAGCUUGUUACAUUUGAUGCAGCCAAUGCAAUAUACUAUUCCUUUACUAAUGCAAGUAAAAGCAUCAUGGAUAGUAAAUGAGGAUUUUGCUCCCUUAACUACUGUGUUGCUGUGAAUGUAUGUACAAGUAGCACAGCUUGACCUAUUGCAUGGAAACGUACCCUUAAGACUGUCCAGAUUGGGUCGAAUGUUACUGUGGACCAGAUGCUCUCUUAGAUUUUUGUCUCUUCUGUAUGACAUUAGAGGAGGGUUAUUGAAAAUAGGAGCUGUAGAAGGAUCAUCUUGAAGAAUGCUAACAUUUCUCUGUAUGAUGUGUUGUAUUUUUUGGUCAUAGGAUGAUAAGUAAGAACAAGGGGAAUAAGAUUGUUAGUAUUCUGUGUUUUGGUUUUGUACAAGGCAUCUUUUCUGUUUAUUGUCGAUACUCUUAACUGAGCUUCUCUAAGUAUAGUGUCUGGAAAACCACAGUUUCUGAAAAAUGCACACAUGUCAUUUGUUUUAUUCAAAAAAUCACUAUCAUCACUGCAAAUGCGUCUCAGUCUUAGUAAUUGGGAGUCCUGAUAAUUGAUUUGUAAUCAGUUAUUCUAUCUUUUUAAGUACCUGAAAUAUCCUUUUCUCUUUUUUCUUUUUUCUUAUAUAUCUUAUAUUUUUUCAUAUAUAUAUAUAUAUAUAUAUAUAUAUAUAUAUAUAUAUAUAUAUAUAUAUAUAUAUAUAUGAACUGCAACUUAAUGUAAUAACUUUAAAAAUCAACAAAUGUGGUUUUCCCUUUUUUAAACUUCAGGCAAGGUAAAAUAACAAAACACAAACACUUUUUGAUCCCUUGUACAGGGAAGCAAUUGCUGCUUCCAGUAACUUAGCACUACCAGCUGAGAUUCAUUACAAUACAUAACUCAAAUAUUUAUUUAAAUAAAUAAACGCUGCUGAGCCUAAUAAUUAUCAGCUAGUGGGUCUGGUGAAAUAAUCUGCUUAGUAACCGAAAGACACGCCUCUCUGUUAUGUGAAGGAUUAAAAGAUUUUGAAAGUGUCCCAGGCUUACAGUAUAUAUGCUUUGCAUUGCCUUCUGGGAAGGCACAGGUGACCUGCUGUCUGAAGCCUUUGUACCCACAGUACCGCAGGGUGUGAUACCACUGGGAUGUUUAUGGCUUUUCUCACAUGAGGUGGCAGCUGCGUUUCAACGGUAUGACAGUCUGAGAGGCUGGCUGAUAGGGGACAACGGGUAUCCACUGAAGCGGUGCCUAUUGACACCACUGCUCAGCCCCACGACCCCUGCCGAACAGAGAAAACAAGAGGAAUAUAGGACUGCCGAAGCCCUUUGAGAACAUGCCCUGAAAGUAAAGUCUUGAGCUUGAGCUCAGACCAUGAAAUCGGCAAGCAAGGACAAGUGCAACCCAUGUAAUCCAUUCAUCCACUGGAAAAGGAGUACCUAAUGUGGUAAUGUGGCUGGUGCAAUUGUGUAUUUUACUGCAGACACAUAAGGAGUCCAGCAAUUGAUGAACAAACAUGGUUUUAUUUACAAUAUUUACAAACAAAGAAAACAAACUAGCACAGCAUGGCUAAACCAUUUGCCUGGUUUUAAGCAAGUAUUAUUCUCCGUACUUACUAACAGCUUUUGCACGCUCAACUCGCACCAGACUCACUCCAAUUUCACCUUCCCCGAGUGACAACAAAGAGUCUUUUAUACAUGAGCAAAUUACAAACAAUCACUUAAUCAACACUCAAUUAAGUAUUUUACACAUGGACAGCUUUUCUUAAGCAGUAUGCCCUAUACCAACCCCCCCCCCCCCCCCAGGCUUCUGGGAAAUAUAGUUUUCCGCAUUGUAGCCAUAACAUCUGUGGGAGAUCAACUGAACUACACGUUUCUAAACUUUACCGAGGAACGUAGCUCUCAGACUGACAUAUUUAUUUGAUAUCACUGUCCCACACUACACAUAUAGUAGUGUGCACAUAUAUUAGAACACCCCAUUGUUUCUGUAGUUUUGAUUUGUUGUGCAUAUGAAAUCAAACCACUAUAACUGUAACUGAAAAUCUUGGAAAAAUGUCAAAACUGUGACAGAGAGCGAAAGAAUUCGAGCUGUAAAUCUUUCUCCCGACCAGAUGGGCAGCUUCGACGGUAGGCAGAAACCGGAAGGUGACCAUAUUAGGGGGAGCGUGUAGUUGCACGUACACUGGAAGACUGCAUUGCAAAUCAACAACGGGGCACACAGCAAUUGGAGAAAUCAUGGUGCCAGGUUGAUUGCAGGGAGAAGUUUGGAAGUACAAAGGGGAAGCAGCUACGUCAGUACGGCCCUUGCGCUGAAAAUGUAACAUAUGGCUGAAGCUUUGUUUUGUUUUGUGUUACGUGUUGUUUUGAUGUAUUUUACAGAGGAGGAGGAAACAGAAGCUGCCGCCACAGAGCCAGCACUCACCCCUGAGCACAACCUUCACUGCACACCGACACGCACCACCAUCCCCGGGUUUUGAAGAGCACAGUUUCGUGCAUCAUGGAUUUGGAUUGUUAUUGCUGUGUGUUUAUUUGUUUGGGUUUGCAAGCCCACCGUGUUCCCCCUAAUACCAUCGUUGGUAGAGGGGCAGCCUUUUUGAGUUUAUUAUAAAUAAACACAGACAUUUU
Long non-coding RNA from Acipenser ruthenus (sterlet), 3271 nucleotides. RefSeq lists it as uncharacterized. The transcript is spliced from 4 exons. Lineage: Eukaryota; Metazoa; Chordata; Actinopteri; Acipenseriformes; Acipenseridae. The record is from RefSeq and is a predicted model, not a curated record.